RNAcentral lists this ribosomal RNA (253 nucleotides) under uncultured bacterium. RNAcentral's name for it is "partial 16S ribosomal RNA". It matches the Rfam family "Bacterial small subunit ribosomal RNA", at positions 524 to 776 of the family's 1533-position model. The record is from RNAcentral.
UACGAAGGGAGCUAGCGUUGUUCGGAAUAACUGGGCGUAAAGCGCACGUAGGCGGAUGUGUCAGUCAGGGGUGAAAUCCCGGAGCUCAACUUCGGAACUGCCCUUGAUACAGCACGUCUUGAGUCCGGAAGAGGUGGGUGGAAUUCCUAGUGUAGAGGUGAAAUUCGUAGAUAUUAGGAAGAACACCGGUGGCGAAGGCGGCCCACUGGUCCGGUACUGACGCUGAGGUGCGAAAGCGUGGGGAGAAAACAGG